This 389-nucleotide ribosomal RNA is filed under the name uncultured bacterium. RNAcentral's name for it is "bacterial SSU rRNA". It matches the Rfam family "Bacterial small subunit ribosomal RNA", at positions 28 to 417 of the family's 1533-position model. The record is from RNAcentral.
GACGAACGCUGGCGGCGUGCUUAACACAUGCAAGUCGAGCGGUAAGGCCCUUUCGGGGGUACACGAGCGGCGAACGGGUGAGUAACACGUGGGUGACCUGCCCUCAGCUCUGGGAUAAGCCUGGGAAACCGGGUCUAAUACCGGAUAUGACUCCAUGACGCAUGUUGUGGGGUGGAAAGCCUUGUGCGGCUGAGGAUGGGCCCGCGGCCUAUCAGCUUGUUGGUGGGGUGAUGGCCUACCAAGGCGACGACGGGUAGCCGGCCUGAGAGGGCGACCGGCCACACUGGGACUGAGACACGGCCCAGACUCCUACGGGAGGCAGCAGUGGGGAAUCUUGCGCAAUGGGCGAAAGACCUGACGCAGCGACGCCGCGUGAGGGAUGACGGCCU